GAUGAACGCUGGCGGCGUGCCUAAUACAUGCAAGUCGAGCGAACGGACGAGAAGCUUGCUUUUCUGAUGUUAGCGGCGGACGGGUGAGUAACACGUGGAUAACCUACCUAUAAGACUGGGAUAACUUCGGGAAACCGGAGCUAAUACCGGAUAAUAUUUUGAACCGCAUGGUUCAAAAGUGAAAGACGGUCUUGCUGUCACUUAUAGAUGGAUCCGCGCUGCAUUAGCUAGUUGGUAAGGUAACGGCUUACCAAGGCAACGAUGCAUAGCCGACCUGAGAGGGUGAUCGGCCACACUGGAACUGAGACACGGUCCAGACUCCUACGGGAGGCACCAGUAGGGAAUCUUCCGCAAUGGGCGAAAGCCUGACGGAGCAACGCCGCGUGAGUGAUGAAGGUCUUCGGAUCGUAAAACUCUGUUAUUAGGGAAGAACAUAUGUGUAAGUAACUGUGCACAUCUUGACGGUACCUAAUCAGAAAGCCACGGCUAACUACGUG
This 497-nucleotide ribosomal RNA is filed under the name uncultured bacterium. RNAcentral's name for it is "partial 16S ribosomal RNA". It matches the Rfam family "Bacterial small subunit ribosomal RNA", at positions 28 to 507 of the family's 1533-position model. The record is from RNAcentral.